UGUAAAUAUCACGUCAGCUUUUCAUGCUGAAGAUGGGGGUGCCUGUCCCCCGAGGGUUA
This 59-nucleotide transfer RNA is filed under the name Acanthocardia tuberculata (tuberculate cockle). RNAcentral's name for it is "tRNA-Glu". The record is from RNAcentral. Lineage: Eukaryota; Metazoa; Mollusca; Bivalvia; Cardiida; Cardiidae.